AGUGAACGCUGGCGGUAGGCCUAACACAUGCAAGUCGAACGGCAGCACAGUAAGAGCUUGCUCUUACGGGUGGCGAGUGGCGGACGGGUGAGGAAUACAUCGGAAUCUACUUUUUCGUGGGGGAUGACGUAGGGAAACUUACGCUAAUACCGCAUACGACCUACGGGUGAAAGCAGGGGAUCUUCGGACCUUGCGCGAUUGAAUGAGCCGAUGUCGGAUUAGCUAGUUGGCGGGGUAAAGGCCCACCAAGGCGACGAUCCGUAGCUGGUCUGAGAGGAUGAUCAGCCACACUGGAACUGAGACACGGUCCAGACUCCUACGGGAGGCAGCAGUGGGGAAUAUUGGACAAUGGGCGAAAGCCUGAUCCAGCCAUACCGCGUGGGUGAAGAAGGCCUUCGGGUUGUAAAGCCCUUUUGUUGGGAAAGAAAAGCAGCAGGUUAAUACCCCGCUGUUCUGACGGUACCCAAAGAAUAAGCACCGGCUAACUUCGUG
RNAcentral lists this ribosomal RNA (492 nucleotides) under uncultured bacterium. Its description in RNAcentral is "partial 16S ribosomal RNA". It matches the Rfam family "Bacterial small subunit ribosomal RNA", at positions 29 to 507 of the family's 1533-position model. The record is from RNAcentral.